UUGGGAAGAAAAAGUCGUAACAAGGUCUCCGUUGGUGAACCAGCGGAGGGAUCAUUACCGAGUUUACAACUCCCAAACCCCUGUGAACAUACCACUUGUUGCCUCGGCGGGAUCAGCCCGCUCCCGGUAAAACGGGACGGCCCGCCAGAGGACCCCUAAACUCUGUUUCUAUAUGUAACUUCUGAGUAAAACCAUAAAUAAAUCAAAACUUUCAACAACGGAUCUCUUGGUUCCUGGCAUCGAUGAAGAACGCAGCAAAAUGCGAUAAGUAAUGUGAAUUGCAGAAUUCAGUGAAUCAUCGAAUCUUUGAACGCACAUUGCGCCCGCCAGUAUUCUGGCGGGCAUGCCUGUUCGAGCGUCAUUUCAACCCUCAAGCACAGCUUGGUGUUGGGACUCGCGUUAAUUCGCGUUCCUCAAAUUGAUUGGCGGUCACGUCGAGCUUCCAUAGCGUAGUAGUAAAACCCUCGUUACUGGUAAUCGUCGCGGCCACGCCGUUAAACCCCAACUUCUGAAUGUUGACCUCGGAUCACGAGAAUCCAGC
Molecule: ribosomal RNA, 541 nt
Filed under: Fusarium oxysporum
Lineage: Eukaryota; Fungi; Ascomycota; Sordariomycetes; Hypocreales; Nectriaceae
Description: partial 18S ribosomal RNA
Rfam family: 5.8S ribosomal RNA (bases 207-361)
Source: RNAcentral